RNAcentral lists this non-coding RNA (26 nucleotides) under Mus musculus (house mouse). Lineage: Eukaryota; Metazoa; Chordata; Mammalia; Rodentia; Muridae. The record is from RNAcentral.
UAGGAACUGGGUUUGGCCUUAAUUCA